Molecule: small nuclear RNA, 141 nt
Organism: Lemur catta (Ring-tailed lemur)
Lineage: Eukaryota; Metazoa; Chordata; Mammalia; Primates; Lemuridae
Product: U4 spliceosomal RNA
Exons: 1
Source: RefSeq, a predicted model, not a curated record
AGCUUUGCACAGUAACACUCUUAUAGCCAAUGAGGUUUAUCUCAGGUGUGAUUAUUGCUAAUUGAAAACUUUUCCCAAUACCUCACCAUCACGACUUGAAAUAUAGUCAGUAUUGGCAAUUUUUGACAGUCUUUAUUGAGA